AUCAUGGCUCGAACGAACGCUGGCGGCGUGGAUAAGACAUGCAAGUCGAACGGGACAAUAUUUGUAGCAAUACAGAUGUUGUUUAGUGGCGAACGGGUGCGUAACACGUGGGGAAUCUGCCGAGAAGUGGGGGAUAGCUCGCCGAAAGGCGAAUUAAUACCGCAUGUGAUCAGGGAAGACAUCUUUCCGACAUCAAAGCCGGGGCAACCUGGCGCUUCUUGAUGACCCCGCGGCCUAUCAGCUAGUUGGUGAGGUAACGGCCCACCAAGGCGAUGACGGGUAGCUGGUCUGAGAGGACGACCAGUCACACUGGAACUGAGACACGGUCCAGACACCUACGGGUGGCAGCAGUCGAGAAUUUUUCUCAAUGGGGGCAACCCUGAAGGAGCGACGCCGCGUGGAGGAUGAAGGCUUUCGGGUUGUAAACUCCUGUCAUUUGAGAACAAUGGCUACGCGUUAACUGCGCGGAGCUUGAUAGUAUCAGAAGAGGAAGGGACGGCUAACUCUGUGCCAGCAGCCGCGGUAAUACAGAGGUCCCAAGCGUUGUUCGGAUUCAUUGGGCGUAAAGGGUGCGUAGGUGGCGCCGUAAGUGGGGUGUGAAAUCCCGGGGCUUAACCCCGGGACUGCAUUCCAUACUGCGGUGCUUGAGGACUGGAGAGGAGACUGGAAUUUACGGUGUAGCAGUGAAAUGCGUAGAGAUCGUAAGGAAGACAGUGGCGA
This 720-nucleotide ribosomal RNA is filed under the name uncultured bacterium. RNAcentral describes it as "bacterial SSU rRNA". It matches the Rfam family "Bacterial small subunit ribosomal RNA", at positions 16 to 718 of the family's 1533-position model. The record is from RNAcentral.